GCGCCUGUAGCUCAAUUGGAUAGAGCAUCGGUCUACGGAACCGAAGGUUGCAGGUUCGAGUCCUGCCAGGCGUG
Molecule: transfer RNA, 74 nt
Filed under: Phycisphaerae bacterium
Lineage: Bacteria; Pseudomonadati; Planctomycetota; Phycisphaerae
Also listed under: 2 other names
Description: tRNA-Arg
Rfam family: tRNA
About the family: Transfer RNA (tRNA) molecules are approximately 80 nucleotides in length. Their secondary structure includes four short double-helical elements and three loops (D, anti-codon, and T loops).
Source: RNAcentral